This 463-nucleotide long non-coding RNA is filed under the name Zonotrichia albicollis (white-throated sparrow). RNAcentral describes it as "lncRNA (ENSZALG00000015777.1)". The record is from RNAcentral. Lineage: Eukaryota; Metazoa; Chordata; Aves; Passeriformes; Passerellidae.
AGUUUUCUGGAUGAUUUCUUUGACGGAUGCUCGGUUACCCCAGUAGUAAAAUGAAGAGGUAGAACUGGCAAUUCUGUGGUUCUUGGAUCAGCAUGAGAGCCAAGCUUCAGCACAGCUCAAAGUGGACAUGAGUCAAACUGGUGAUAAAUCUAUUUCAUACACUGCUUUUGCCCCAGGCAUGUGCUCCUAUGGAACCAGGCUGGGACAGGAGGAGUUCUUCAAGGCUCUCCUGGUGCAUGUCAGGAUGUCUGAAGUCUUGGGAAUAAAAGGUGACAACCAUGUUCUGGAAGCAUUUAUGACCAAAAAUAUGAAAUUCCGAUUGGGUUUGCCCAAAGUCCAUCAGACCCUUUCUUUGCUGCCAGCAGCAGCUUUGGGACCCAGCACAAAGCCCCUCUCGCUCUGGGGUUUGGUGCAGGAUGCAGCUCACAGAUCUGGGCAGACCCUUCAGCAGGGUGUUGUCUGA